ACGAACGCUGGCGGCGUGCUUAACCCAUGCAAGUCGAACGGAAAGGCCCUGCUUUUGUGGGGUGCUCGAGUGGCGAACGGGUGAGUAACACGUGAGUAACCUGCCCUUGACUUUGGGAUAACUUCAGGAAACUGGGGCUAAUACCGGAUAGGAGCUCCUGCUGCAUGGUGGGGGUUGGAAAGUUUCGGCGGUUGGGGAUGGACUCGCGGCUUAUCAGCUUGUUGGUGGGGUAGUGGCUUACCAAGGCUUUGACGGGUAGCCGGCCUGAGAGGGUGACCGGCCACAUUGGGACUGAGAUACGGCCCAGACUCCUACGGGAGGCAGCAGUGGGGAAUAUUGCACAAUGGGCGGAAGCCUGAUGCAGCAACGCCGCGUGCGGGAUGACGGCCUUCGGGUUGUAAUCCGCUUUCGCCUGUGACGAAGCGUGAGUGACGGUAAUGGGUAAAGAAGCACCGGCUAACUACGUG
Molecule: ribosomal RNA, 467 nt
Filed under: uncultured bacterium
Lineage: Bacteria
Description: partial 16S ribosomal RNA
Rfam family: Bacterial small subunit ribosomal RNA
Source: RNAcentral